Molecule: small RNA, 122 nt
Filed under: Marmota monax (woodchuck)
Lineage: Eukaryota; Metazoa; Chordata; Mammalia; Rodentia; Sciuridae
Source: RNAcentral
GGGUGUGGUGGCGCACGCCUGUAAUCCCAGUGGCUCGGGCAACUGAGGCAGGAGGAUCCUGAGUUCAAAGCCAGCGUUAGCAAAAGCAAGGCGCUAAGCAACUUAGUGAGACCCUGUCUCUA